This 490-nucleotide ribosomal RNA is filed under the name uncultured bacterium. Its description in RNAcentral is "bacterial SSU rRNA". It matches the Rfam family "Bacterial small subunit ribosomal RNA", at positions 30 to 521 of the family's 1533-position model. The record is from RNAcentral.
AUUGAACGCUGGCGGCAGGCUUAACACAUGCAAGUCGAGCGGAGACUUCGGUCUUAGCGGCGAACGGGUGAGUAAUACCUAGGAAUCUGCCUAUUAGCGGGGGAUAACGAAUCGAAAGGUUCGCUAAUACCGCAUACGUCCUACGGGAGAAAGGGGGGGAUCUUCGGACCUCUCGCUAAUAGAUGAGCCUAGGCCGGAUUAGCUAGUUGGUGGGGUAAGGGCCUACCAAGGCGACGAUCAGUAGUUGGUCUGAGAGGACGACCAGCCACACUGGGACUGAGACACGGCCCAGACUCCUACGGGAGGCAGCAGUGGGGAAUUUUGGACAAUGGGCGCAAGCCUGAUCCAGCCAUGCCGCGUGCGGGAAGAAGGCCUUCGGUUGUAACUAGCUUUGUACUAGAACGAAAGGUUUACCGUACUAAUACAGGAGGCGUUAUGACGGUACGUGUAAGAAUAAGACACCGGCUAACUACGUGCCAGCAGCCGCGGU